AUGAAUUCAUCCCGCAAGUUCUUCAUGGUUGUUGUCGUCCUUGCCUUGCUCGUCGUGGCUACGGAGAUGGCACCGGCGCAGGCGGUAGACUGCAGGACAGCGAGCACCCGGUUCAACGGCAUAUGCAUCCUGGACAGCAGUUGCGCCAACAUGUGCAUCACCGAGGGGUUCCUGGCUGGCGGGGACUGUGAAGGCCUCCACCGGCGAUGCAUGUGCAAAACACCAUGCUAG
RNAcentral lists this ribosomal RNA (231 nucleotides) under Triticum aestivum (bread wheat). RNAcentral describes it as "partial small subunit ribosomal RNA". The record is from RNAcentral. Lineage: Eukaryota; Viridiplantae; Streptophyta; Magnoliopsida; Poales; Poaceae.